GAAGUUCAAAGCCUCUUUGUUAUAUUGUAAAUGAGCUUUGGGUGUGUUUAUAAAGUCCAUUUCAUGUAUUUAUAAAUAAUAAUAAUAAAAAAUUGGGCCCUUAUACUGGGUAUAAUAGUGAAUCUCCCUUAAAAAUAAAGGUCAAACUUCUCACCAAAAGCAAAAAAAGUUCACACUCAAAAAAUUAGUCUUAGUCUAAUGGGAUAUUAGUUAGAUUGACCCAAGUUUUUGGUGUGAUUCUAAGUGAUUAUGAAUUCAAGCCCUCAUUGUACUCGUGUGUGUGAGUUUCCCCUCUCAUUCUUACUAACUUUGGCAACAAAAAAAAAAGGUCUCCAAAAAAAAAACUUAGAAUAAAAGAAAUUUUAAAAAAAAGUUACACUAGAAAAAUUAAAUUUCAAUGAAAACUUUUAGUGGAAUAAUUUUUUUAAUUUUUUAUAAAAAGGUCACGUUCUGAAAAAUUAUUAUCGAUUAUCACUUUUAAUGGAAUAUCAAAGUUAAAAAAAAAAAAAAAAAAUCACAUUCGAGGUACUAUGAUUAUUUUAUUUUGAGGAAAAUAUUGUGCUCGCUUAUUUAUUUUAGCGUAGUUAAAUUACUAUUAAAAA
This 602-nucleotide long non-coding RNA is filed under the name Prunus persica (peach). RNAcentral describes it as "long non-coding RNA (PPER_LNC002977)". Lineage: Eukaryota; Viridiplantae; Streptophyta; Magnoliopsida; Rosales; Rosaceae. The record is from RNAcentral.